GAUGAACGCUGGCGGCGUGCUUAACACAUGCAAGUCGAACGAUGAUGCCCAGCUUGCUGGGUGGAUUAGUGGCGAACGGGUGAGUAACACGUGAGUAACCUGCCCUUGACUCUGGGAUAAGCCUGGGAAACUGGGUCUAAUACCGGAUACGACCAUCUGGCGCAUGUCAUGGUGGUGGAAAGCUUUUGUGGUUUUGGAUGGACUCGCGGCCUAUCAGCUUGUUGGUGGGGUAAUGGCCUACCAAGGCGACGACGGGUAGCCGGCCUGGGGGGGUGACCGGCCACACUGGGACUGAGACACGGCCCAGACUCCUACGGGAGGCAGCAGUUGGGAAUAUUGCACAAUGGGAGCAAGCCUGAUGCAGCGACGCCGCGUGAGGGAUGACGGCCUUCGGGUUGUAAACCUCGUUCAGUAGGGAAGAAGCGAAAGUGACGGUACCUGCAGAAGAAGCGCCGGCUAACUACGUG
This 467-nucleotide ribosomal RNA is filed under the name uncultured bacterium. Its description in RNAcentral is "partial 16S ribosomal RNA". It matches the Rfam family "Bacterial small subunit ribosomal RNA", at positions 28 to 507 of the family's 1533-position model. The record is from RNAcentral.